Non-coding RNA from Pangasius djambal, 72 nucleotides. NCBI's taxonomy places the organism in Eukaryota, Metazoa, Chordata, Actinopteri, Siluriformes, Pangasiidae. The record is from the annotation of a GenBank genome assembly.
UCAGUGAUGGCACAGUGGUUAAGGUAUUGGGCUACUGAUCAGAAAGUCGUGAGUUCAAAUCCCAGCACUGUC